AACGAACGCUGGCGGCAGGCCUAACACAUGCAAGUCGAACGUGAAGCCACCUUCGGGUGGUGGAAAGUGGCAGACGGGUGAGUAACGCGUGGGAACGUGCCUUUCGGUUCGGGAUAACCCAGGGAAACUUGGGCUAAUACCGGAUACGCCCUCCGGGGGAAAGAUUCAUUGCCGAAAGAUCGGCCCGCGUCGGAUUAGCUAGGUGGUGGGGUAAAAGCCUACCAAGGCGACGAUCCGUAGCUGGUCUGAGAGGAUGACCAGCCACACUGGGACUGAGACACGGCCCAGACUCCUACGGGAGGCAGCAGUGGGGAAUAUUGGACAAUGGGCGCAAGCCUGAUCCAGCCAUGCCGCGUGGGUGAAGAAGGCCCUAGGGUUGUAAACCCCUUUCAGCGGGGAAGAUAAUGACGGUACCCGCAGAAGAAGCCCCGGCUAACUCCGUGCCAGCAGCCGCAGUAA
RNAcentral lists this ribosomal RNA (459 nucleotides) under uncultured bacterium. RNAcentral describes it as "partial 16S ribosomal RNA". It matches the Rfam family "Bacterial small subunit ribosomal RNA", at positions 29 to 523 of the family's 1533-position model. The record is from RNAcentral.